UCAAACACGUGAUUGCCUUUCCGGAAAUUUCUUUUGGAUAUUGUUGGAUUUGAAUUAGAGAGAAAAACGUGCUUGACUUUGAGUACCAAGUAGUGUGUUUUGUUAAUAUUACUGGUUGGAAACUAUUAUGGAUGACGAAGAGGAGACUUACAGGUUAUGGAAAAUCCGUAAAACGAUAAUGCAGUUGUGUCAUGAUCGAGGAUAUCUGGUGACACAAGAUGAGUUGGACCAAACACUCGAAGAGUUUAAAAGUCAAUUCGGCGAUAAACCCAGCGAGGGUCGCCCACGACGGACAGACCUCACUGUUUUGGUGGCUCACAACGAUGACCCCACUGAUCAGAUGUUCGUUUUCUUUCCAGAGGAACCUAAAGUUGGAAUCAAGACGAUCAAAAUGUACUGUCAGCGCAUGCAGGAAGAAAACAUUACCAGAGCCAUAAUCGUAGUACAGAUGGGAAUGACGCCUUCGGCGAAACAGUCUCUUGUUGACAUGGCACCAAAAUACAUCCUGGAGCAGUUCCUCCAGCAAGAGCUUCUUAUCAACAUUACAGAGCAUGAGCUGGUUCCUGAACAUAUAGUCAUGACCAAGGAAGAAGUGACUGAGUUGCUGGCCAGAUAUAAGCUUAAAGAGAGCCAGUUACCCAGGAUUCAGGCAGGUGACCCAGUGGCUAGAUACUUUGGACUGAAAAGAGGACAGGUGGUGAAGAUCAUCAGACCUAGUGAGACUGCUGGCCGGUACAUCACAUACAGACUUGUACAGUAGAAACAAAGGGCUGUGUGUGUUGGAAUGUCUGUACUCUAUGUACUAACCCCACCCCAAAUUCCAGGCGUUUGGCAGACUUUCUGGAAGAACUUUGAGUGAAGAGUUCUCAGAAGUGGACACAUCUCAUACACGUCAGAACAUCAAGAACUUAGUACACACACACCAGAAUUGGCAAAAAUAUGACCUUGUUCCCCCCUCUACUUGAUUACCCAUGAUAUAAUUCUUGCUAACUCAAAAGGACAAACUUGUGUAAAAUGGCCAUUUAUUAAAACAUUUUUUUUACAUACA
Molecule: RNA transcript, 1048 nt
Organism: Sardina pilchardus (European sardine)
Lineage: Eukaryota; Metazoa; Chordata; Actinopteri; Clupeiformes; Clupeidae
Gene name: DNA-directed RNA polymerases I, II, and III subunit RPABC1
Exons: 9
Source: RefSeq, a predicted model, not a curated record